UCAUAAGCUUCCCAAGGAAGCUAUUGAAUUGACUUUACCUCACACCUAUCGUCCAAAGCAACACCAAAAGGUAAGAGUUGAAAAUCAAUUUCCUUUCUUCCCACUUACCCGUCGAUCUACACCCAAGGAAAAUGGAAAACUUCAUCUUCCUCUCCAAGCAAGCCAUAGCCAACCUUCACCUAUUUCCUUCCUCUUCUCUUUCCAUCUUCAGGAAAGCAAGUUCAUCUCAUCACCUUCAAGCCUUGUGACUCCAUAGCAAGGGAAGAAGAAAAAUAUUUUCUCUCAUCCUCUUCAAGCCAUACGAGUAUACUCCCUCCCUACUCAUUUUUGGGUUUUGCCGCAAACCUUGGAACUAAAAUUUGAUUUCAUCUUCUAAAUGGUGAAAUAUUGAAGUGAUACUGUGUUGCUCUUCUUCCACACGGGUUUACCACUAUUUGGCCCUCUAUCUUGCCUCUUGAAAGGGGCUAAGAGCUUAAGGAAUAUUGAUGAAUGAAAGUAUCGAGGAGCAUAGAGGUAAUGAUGAAAAGGCUGGGGAGCAAGGCAUUACUGCAGAGGGAGAGGCAUACGCUUAGGACCUUCCCUAACGAGGACAGUUAUGUUACGAAUGAUGGGUUAUGUUAUGUAUAGAUAUUUUAAUUUGGGAUGGACUCUGAGAGUCUCUUAUGGAUAAAUGUUCAAAUAGAAU
Long non-coding RNA from Juglans regia (Persian walnut), 685 nucleotides. RefSeq lists it as uncharacterized. The record is from RefSeq and is a predicted model, not a curated record. Lineage: Eukaryota; Viridiplantae; Streptophyta; Magnoliopsida; Fagales; Juglandaceae. The transcript has 4 exons.